This 429-nucleotide ribosomal RNA is filed under the name uncultured bacterium. Its description in RNAcentral is "bacterial SSU rRNA". It matches the Rfam family "Bacterial small subunit ribosomal RNA", at positions 957 to 1391 of the family's 1533-position model. The record is from RNAcentral.
GAACGCGAAGAACCUUACCAGGGCUUGACAUUUAGGUGAAGCGGCGGAAACGUCGUGGCCGAAAGGAGCCUAAGCAGGUGGUGCAUGGCUGUCGUCAGCUCGUGUCGUGAGAUGUUAGGUUAAGUCCUGCAACGAGCGCAACCCUCGUCGUAUGUUGCCAGCGGUUAGGCCGGGCACCCAUACGAGACCGCCGGCGUCAAGCCGGAGGAAGGUGGGGACGACGUCAAGUCAUCAUGCCCCUUAUGUCCUGGGCUACACACGUGCUACAAUGGCCGGCACAAUGGGCUGCCAACCCGCGAGGGUGAGCGAAUCCCUAAAGCCGGUCCCAGUUCGGAUUGGAGGCUGCAACCCGCCUCCAUGAAGUCGGAGUUGCUAGUAAUCGCGGAUCAGCACGCCGCGGUGAAUGCGUUCCCGGGUCUUGUACACACC